RNAcentral lists this ribosomal RNA (1323 nucleotides) under Cyanobacterium stanieri PCC 7202. Its description in RNAcentral is "bacterial SSU rRNA". It matches the Rfam family "Bacterial small subunit ribosomal RNA", at positions 188 to 1528 of the family's 1533-position model. The record is from RNAcentral. Lineage: Bacteria; Bacillati; Cyanobacteriota; Cyanophyceae; Chroococcales; Geminocystaceae.
AUGAGCUGAAAAGUAAAAGAUUUAUCGCCUAGGGAAGAGCUCGCGGCUGAUUAGCUAGUUGGUAGUGUAAAGGACAACCAAGGCAACGAUCAGUAGCUGGUCUGAGAGGAUGAGCAGCCACACUGGGACUGAGACACGGCCCAGACUCCUACGGGAGGCAGCAGUGGGGAAUUUUCCGCAAUGGGCGAAAGCCUGACGGAGCAAUACCGCGUGAGGGAGGAAGGCUCUUGGGUUGUAAACCUCAAAACUCAGGGAAGAAGAAAGUGACGGUACCUGAUAUAAGCAUCGGCUAACUCCGUGCCAGCAGCCGCGGUAAUACGGAGGAUGCAAGCGUUAUCCGGAAUCAUUGGGCGUAAAGCGUCCGUAGGUGGCAUUUCAAGUCUGCAUUCAAAGACCGAGGCUCAACCUCGGGCAGGGUGUGGAAACUGAAAAGCUAGAGUACAGGAGGGGUAGAGGGAAUUCCUAGUGUAGCGGUGAAAUGCGUAGAGAUUAGGAAGAACACCAGUGGCGAAGGCGCUCUACUGGACAUGUACUGACACUGAGGGACGAAAGCUAGGGUAGCGAAAGGGAUUAGAUACCCCUGUAGUCUUAGCUGUAAACGAUGGAUACUAAGUGUAGCGGGUAUAAACUCCGGCUGUGCUGAAGCAAACGCGUUAAGUAUCCCGCCUGGGGAGUACGCACGCAAGUGUGAAACUCAAAGGAAUUGACGGGGACCCGCACAAGCGGUGGAGUAUGUGGUUUAAUUCGAUGCAACGCGAAGAACCUUACCAAGACUUGACAUCCGAUGAAUCUUUUUGAAAGAAGAGAGUGCCUUAGGGAACAUCGUGACAGGUGGUGCAUGGCUGUCGUCAGCUCGUGUCGUGAGAUGUUGGGUUAAGUCCCGCAACGAGCGCAACCCUCGUCCUUAGUUGCCAGCAUUAAGUUGGGGACUCUAGGGAGACCGCCGGGGAGAACUCGGAGGAAGGUGGGGAUGACGUCAAGUCAGCAUGCCCCUUACGUCUUGGGCUACACACGUACUACAAUGGUUGGGACAAAGGGAUGCGAGACCGCAAGGUGGAGCGAAACCCAUCAAACCCAGCCCCAGUUCAGAUCGUCGGCUGAAACUCGCCGACGUGAAGGAGGAAUCGCUAGUAAUCGCAGGUCAGCAUACUGCGGUGAAUCCGUUCCCGGGUCUUGUACACACCGCCCGUCACACCAUGGAAGUUGGUAACAUCCGAAGUCGUUACUCCAACCAUUUAUGGAGGAGGACGCCGAAGGUGGGACUAGUGACUGGGGUGAAGUCGUAACAAGGUAGCCGUACCGGAAGGUGUGGCUGGAUCACCU